This 576-nucleotide ribosomal RNA is filed under the name uncultured bacterium. RNAcentral describes it as "bacterial SSU rRNA". It matches the Rfam family "Bacterial small subunit ribosomal RNA", at positions 268 to 859 of the family's 1533-position model. The record is from RNAcentral.
CCAAGCCGACGAUCGGUAGCCGGACUGAGAGGUUGAACGGCCACAUUGGGACUGAGACACGGCCCAGACUCCUACGGGAGGCAGCAGUGGGGGAUAUUGCACAAUGGAGGAAACUCUGAUGCAGCGACGCCGCGUGAGGGAAGACGGUCUUCGGAUUGUAAACCUCUGUCUUUAGGGACGAAAAAAUGACGGUACCUAAGGAGGAAGCCACGGCUAACUACGUGCCAGCAGCCGCGGUAAUACGUAGGUGGCAAGCGUUGUCCGGAAUUACUGGGUGUAAGGGGAGCGUAGGCGGGGAGACAAGUUGAAUGUUUAAACUAUCGGCUCAACUGAUAGUCGCGUUCAAAACUAUCACUCUUGAGUGCAGUGGAGGUAGGCGGAAUUCCUAGUGUAGCGGUGAAAUGCGUAGAUAUUAGGAGGAACACCAGUGGCGAAGGCGACUCUCUGGUCUGUAACUGACGCUGAGGUGCGAAAGCGUGGGUAGCGAACAGGAUUAGAUACCCUGGUAGUCCACGCCGUAAACGAUGAGUGCUAGGUGUUAAGGGGUUUCCGCCCCUUAGUGCUGCAGUUAACGCA